This 449-nucleotide ribosomal RNA is filed under the name uncultured bacterium. RNAcentral's name for it is "partial 16S ribosomal RNA". It matches the Rfam family "Bacterial small subunit ribosomal RNA", at positions 29 to 523 of the family's 1533-position model. The record is from RNAcentral.
AACGAACGCUGGUGGCAUGCCUAACACAUGCAAGUCGAACGAGAUCUUCGGGUCUAGUGGCGCACGGGUGCGUAACGCGUGGGAAUCUGCCCUUUGGUUCGGAAUAACAGUUGGAAACGACUGCUAAUACCGGAUGAUGACGAAAGUCCAAAGAUUUAUCGCCAAAGGAUGAGCCCGCGUAGGAUUAGCUAGUUGGUGUGGUAAAGGCGCACCAAGGCGACGAUCCUUAGCUGGUCUGAGAGGAUGAUCAGCCACACUGGGACUGAGACACGGCCCAGACUCCUACGGGAGGCAGCAGUGGGGAAUAUUGGACAAUGGGCGAAAGCCUGAUCCAGCAAUGCCGCGUGAGUGAUGAAGGCCUUAGGGUUGUAAAGCUCUUUUACCCGGGAUGAUAAUGACAGUACCGGGAGAAUAAGCUCCGGCUAACUCCGUGCCAGCCGCCGCGGUAA